ACUGAGACGAACAAACGGACUCUCUUUCUUUCCUUUCUUCUUGAAGGGUUUAGGCCAUGCCAAGUAAUCAAAGAAGCGAUUCGGUCUUUCUCUCUCCGCUCAAAUCAUGGCGGAAACGAUGGUGUGGCUGCGGUGAGGAAUCGAAGGUGGGUGGGGCCUAGGGUUGGGGUUUUCUCUCAAACUCUGUGUCAUCGUCGAAGGUCUCAAAGCCGAAGGGUUUAGGCGGAAGGCCAAGGAAUCAAAGAAGUGUCUCGCUCUUUCUCUCUGCGCUCAAAUCACGCCACAAACGAUGGUGUGGCUGCGGUGAGAAAUCGAAGGUGGGUGGGGCCUUGGGUUAGGGUUUUCUCCCAAACUCUUUCAGUGCUCGCCGAAGGUCUCGAAGCCGAAGGGUUAACGCACGCUCAAAUCACACUGGAAACCUUAGUGUGGCUGCGGUGAGAAAUCAAGAUGCUUCCCAGCAUAUCAUGGUAUGAGGAACAUCUUUUCCAUCACACUUCUUUGGGAUCUUUGAUGGCUAUAAGACUUAUUAGAACAUCAAAUUUAAUCUCUCAAGGCUAUGGUUGAAGAAAAAUGAAUUGGAGGCAGAACUUGCUAAUGUUAUAGGGAUAUUCAAGACAGCUCAUAAAAUAGGAUAAGUAUUGCUUUUUUGUUUAUCAAAAUAUUAUCUAUUCUUUUGAGUUUUACUAUGUUUCAAUAUCUCAGGUUUAUUAUUAUUGUUAAGUUGUUUUUGUAUUAUUUCUUAUGUAGGUUGCCUGUUUUGUUUAAUUUAAUGAAUUUUUAACAUAUUCUAAUUAUUUAAUGAUUUUGAUGUAGAUCCCUCUCCAUACUCACUCUCCUCCCUUCAACAUCAUCACCUCGAUGCUGAAUACCUUCAAAUUCAGCACCUCGAUGAUGACGUUCCUCUCUUCUUCCUUCAAAAUCCCCCCUCGACGCUGAAUUCUUUCGAAUUCAGCACCUCGGCGAUGAGAUCCCUCUCUCCUCCCACCAAAAUCAGCCCCUCUUCUAUUAUAUCCCAUACUCAUCUCUUUCCUCGAAAGAGGCUCUAGAGGAGGCAUGUCGUUCUC
This is a long non-coding RNA of Dendrobium catenatum, 1064 nucleotides long. RefSeq lists it as uncharacterized. Lineage: Eukaryota; Viridiplantae; Streptophyta; Magnoliopsida; Asparagales; Orchidaceae. The record is from RefSeq and is a predicted model, not a curated record. The transcript is spliced from 3 exons.